RNAcentral lists this ribosomal RNA (253 nucleotides) under uncultured bacterium. RNAcentral's name for it is "partial 16S ribosomal RNA". It matches the Rfam family "Bacterial small subunit ribosomal RNA", at positions 524 to 776 of the family's 1533-position model. The record is from RNAcentral.
UACAGAGGUGGCUAGCGUUGUUCGGAAUCACUGGGCUUAAAGGGCGCGUAGGCGGCUUGCCAAGUCAGGGGUGAAAUCCUGCAGCUUAACUGUAGAAGGGCCUUUGAUACUGGCGAGCUCGAGGGAGGUAGGGGUAUGUGGAACUUCCGGUGGAGCGGUGAAAUGCGUUGAUAUCGGAAGGAACGCCGGUGGCGAAAGCGACGUACUGGACCUCUUCUGACGCUGAGGCGCGAAAGCUGGGGGAGCAAACGGG